AACUCUUUAGCCAAUUUUGGCAAUUGUUUUGAAAACAAUUAAUUUUAGGUCUCCUAAGAGUUU
Molecule: transfer RNA, 63 nt
Filed under: Songthela hangzhouensis
Lineage: Eukaryota; Metazoa; Arthropoda; Arachnida; Araneae; Liphistiidae
Description: tRNA-Ser
Source: RNAcentral